GACGAACGCUGGCGGCGUGCCUAAUACAUGCAAGUAGAACAGUUGCGAACGGGUGUGUAACGCGUAGGGAACUGCCUCAUAGGGGGGGAUAACUAUUGGAAACGAUAGCUAAUACCGCAUAGUUUGAGCUGGACCUGCGUUGGAUUAACUAGUGGGUGAGGUAAAGGCUCACCAAGGCGCCGAUACAUAGCCGACCUGUGAGGGUGAACGGCCCCCCCUGGACUGAGGCCCGGCCCAGAAUCCUACCGGGGGCAGCAGUAGGGAAUCUUCGGCAAUGGGCGGAAGUCUGACCGCACAACUGCGGCUGAGUGAAGAAGGUUUUCGGAUCGUAAAGCUCUUUUGUGAGAGAAGCGUUAACUAACCAGAAAGGGACGGCUAACUACGUGCCAGCAGCCGCGGUAAUUC
Molecule: ribosomal RNA, 405 nt
Filed under: uncultured bacterium
Lineage: Bacteria
Description: partial 16S ribosomal RNA
Rfam family: Bacterial small subunit ribosomal RNA
Source: RNAcentral